RNAcentral lists this ribosomal RNA (452 nucleotides) under uncultured bacterium. Its description in RNAcentral is "bacterial SSU rRNA". It matches the Rfam family "Bacterial small subunit ribosomal RNA", at positions 328 to 793 of the family's 1533-position model. The record is from RNAcentral.
UGACAGUACUCCUACGGGAGGCAGCAGUGGGGAAUCUUGGACAAUGGGCGCAAGCCUGAUCCAGCCAUGCCGCGUGAGUGAUGAAGGCCCUAGGGUCGUAAAGCUCUUUCGCCAGGGAAGAUAAUGACGGUACCUCGGUAAAGAAACCCCCGGCUAACUCCGUGCCAGCAGCCGCGGUAAGUACGGAGGGGGUUAGCGUUGUUCGGAAUUACUGGGCGUAAAGCGCGCGUAGGCGGAUUAGUCAGUCAGAGGUGAAAUACCCAGGGCUCAACCCUGGAACUGCCUUUGAUACUGCUAGUCUUGAGUUCGAGAGAGGUGAGUGGAAUUCCGAGUGUAGAGGUGAAAUUCGUAGAUAUUCGGAGGAACACCAGUGGCGAAGGCGGCUCACUGGCUCGAUACUGACGCUGAGGUGCGAAAGUGUGGGGAGCAAACAGGAUUAGAUACCCUGGUAG